AAUAUGUUGGAAUAUUUGUCAACGAUCUCUUUUAAUUUACCUAAAAUACCUGUUUUUGCAGAGGAAAGAAUGUUUUCUAACGAAACGUCGAUCUUUAGAACUACGAACUAAACUAAUGUAUUUUUACGUAGUCUUGGUGUCGUUAUUUGUUAUUGAAUUGACUGAGGAGAAAUAUAUUUCUAUACUAACACACUUCUUCGAAUAACAAAGGAUAAAUUAAAAAAAGUAUAAUUUCCUAUAAAAAGAAUCAACACUAUAUUACCCUCCUAAAAUGGACAAUGACUAUUCAACAACCAUUGAUAGAUUCAACACUUUUUCGUUCUUUCCCCAUUCAAAUUUUAACUUUAAGAAUUUAUCAAUAAUGGGAUUUUAUUUUACUGGGAGAAGAACUGAAAUAAAAUGCUAUUGUUGUCAAUUAGUAGUGAAUGAUUGGACUAUUGAAGACACUCUUAAUGAGCAAGCAGUUUUGAAGAAACAUUUAACAGAAUCUCCAAAAUGUUCAAAUGCUAACAAACUAUACAUUACUCAUAAUAGUCAAUAUCUACAUCAAGAUGUUCAACCGUUUACAAUAAAUGUGAAUGAAGUCUUACAAAAGGCAGAUCUAAGCAUUGUAUCUAAUAGAUUGAAGACAUUCAUUAGUUGGUCAGCUAAAAAUGCACAAAGUCCGCCCGAGCUUGCAAAAUGUGGUUUUGUGUUUAUUGGUCCUGAGGAGUCUGAUAGAGUUCAGUGUGUUUAUUGUUUAGUAGUCUUGACAUCAUGGAAUUCAUCAGAUACUGUGAGAGGGGAACAUGCGAGGCAUAGUGAAAAUUGUCCAAUGGUGACUAACAAUUUUGAUGAAAAUAUAGUAAAAAUGAAUCAUCAACCGAAAAUGGGUAUACACGUGUUUGAAAGUGCUGCUGAGGUACUGGGCGUUAACGAUCAGCCAAUGUUAGAGAAAAUUUCUUCAGAGGAGAUUGCAUAUUCAAAUAUGAAACCAGGAACUCCAUCGAAAAGUUUAUUCAUAAAGCGCUUAGAAACAUUCGAAUAUUGGUCUUCAUCGAUACCUCAAAAACCAAAAGAUUUAGCCAAGGCGGGAUUCUUUUUUCUAAAAGGGACAUACGAUAUUGUACAAUGCUUUUGGUGCGGUUUGAGAUUAUUUAAUUGGGAACCACAAGACGAUCCUCUAAGAGAACAUGAACGACACCACCGAAACUGCAAAUACCUUCAGGAUCGAUUAAGAGAGAGAAUGAAUGAAGAAAUGCAAAACGUUUCGUUAAAUGAGGAAGCUAUAUCAAUUCAAGAAACUAAUAUCUUACCUCAAGAUAUGCAAGAUAUCAAUAAGGAAGACGAACAGGGUUUGUGUAAACUAUGCUUUUCGAAAAAAAGAGACACACUAUUUUUGCCCUGCAAACAUCUUAUCGCCUGCAACGAAUGUUCAAUAAACAUUAUCAGUGAAGAGACUUCGUUGUGUCCCUAUUGUAGAGCAACUAUUAAAGGAACAGUUCUGGUUUAUCUGUGAAUGUUCCUGGUGGAAACCUUUUAUCAUUAAAUCUGCCUUGUUUUUAAUAAUUUGUUCUGAAAUCACAUCUACAAUUGGGAAGAAGAGAGAAAAGCAAGUGGAAGAGAAGAAAUCUAUAAAUAUAAUAAAGUUCUUAUUAUAAACAAGAGAUCCUUAUUCAUGGCUGUGUGAUGCACAUAUCUAUUACCAUAGAUGUAGCUAACUCGCUAAAUUCUCAAUAAUAACCGUAUUAAAAUAAUAUGGGACUAAGAUUAGAUUAUCUUCGUAUUUAUUGUCUCUAACUGUGUUCAAUAUUUUUUGUACUCGAUUUAUUUGAACUCUUUGUUUGCUAAUCGAUAACGUUUUUUCUUCAUAAAUCUAUAGAUACGUCAGUUACAAAAAACCCAACUUAUCGAAGGUUCUUAUGAAUUCUUUAAAUUUUUAUAUUCUUUUUCUUUUUUGAAUAUAAGCAAAUAACCAAGUUUUUGGAGUUUGGUAUAAUUUCCUCUUUCAGACGUCCGGCUUUUAAAAAAGUCUACUGACAAAUAAAAAUUGAAUAGUAGAAAAUUCUUAAAAGCAAUAUAUGCAAUUUUUAAAUAGUAUAGUAACAGUUUGGAAUUAUUCAUGUCGGGUUUAAAAGGAUUUUAUUACUAAACGAACACAUUGUUUGACCACUUGGGCCUACAGUCAUUUGAUACAAUGAAAUUACGUAAUUAAAGCAAUUUUGAGUUUAAGUAUACAGU
RNAcentral lists this unclassified non-coding RNA (2220 nucleotides) under Dimorphilus gyrociliatus. RNAcentral describes it as "rING-type domain-containing protein". The record is from RNAcentral. Lineage: Eukaryota; Metazoa; Annelida; Polychaeta; Dinophilidae.